This 491-nucleotide ribosomal RNA is filed under the name uncultured bacterium. RNAcentral's name for it is "bacterial SSU rRNA". It matches the Rfam family "Bacterial small subunit ribosomal RNA", at positions 28 to 507 of the family's 1533-position model. The record is from RNAcentral.
GAUGAACGCUAGCUACAGGCUUAACACAUGCAAGUCGAGGGGAAACGAUAGAGAAAGCUUGCUUUUCUAGGCGUCGACCGGCGCACGGGUGAGUAACGCGUAUCCAACCUGCCCACCACUUGGGGAUAACCUUGCGAAAGUAAGACUAAUACCCAAUGACGUCUCUAGAAGACAUCUGAAAGAGAUUAAAGAUUUAUCGGUGAUGGAUGGGGAUGCGUCUGAUUAGCUUGUUGGCGGGGUAACGGCCCACCAAGGCGACGAUCAGUAGGGGUUCUGAGAGGAAGGUCCCCCACAUUGGAACUGAGACACGGUCCAAACUCCUACGGGAGGCAGCAGUGAGGAAUAUUGGUCAAUGGGCGAGAGCCUGAACCAGCCAAGUAGCGUGCAGGAUGACGGCCCUAUGGGUUGUAAACUGCUUUUAUAAGGGAAUAAAGUGGGAGUCGUGAGACUUUUUGCAUGUACCUUAUGAAUAAGGACCGGCUAAUUCCGUG